Long non-coding RNA from Arachis duranensis, 537 nucleotides. RefSeq lists it as uncharacterized. The transcript is spliced from 2 exons. The record is from RefSeq and is a predicted model, not a curated record. Lineage: Eukaryota; Viridiplantae; Streptophyta; Magnoliopsida; Fabales; Fabaceae.
AUCCCUAACUUCUUGUUGUAAGUUUUAAAAUUUCAUUUUUCAUUUAAUACUUAAUACCAUAAGAGUUAUUUGAAAAAUCUACAUUCUUCAUAUAUAGGACGUACACAACACAGAAGAAGAUAUGGCAAAGAUUUCAAUCAUAUUUACCUUUGUAGUGGUCAUGCUCAGUCUAAUGGCUACCAAUAAUGGAUUUGGUGUUCUCUCAAGCAGAGUAACAAGUGAGACAGAGUCAUCAAAAUCAAAGAGAUGCCACAAUGAUUAUGAGUGCUACCGUAUUCUACCUAGCUGUGGAGGACUUCCUCAUUGCAACGAGGGUCAAUGCAUGUGUAUAUACAAAUAAUAAUAAUGUUUAAACAUACAAGACAUUAUUAUUAUGAGCAAAUAAAAUGUUUAAUCAUUGCAAAUGCUUAAUUAAAUAAGACAAGCAUGCUCAAGAUGUACAAUUGUACACUGCUGCUUGUGCUCUAUCAUAUUUUUGUACUAUCAAUAAACCUAAUAAGCAAUGGUUAAUUCUCAAUAAAUUUAAUUUGAUGGAAA